This 508-nucleotide ribosomal RNA is filed under the name uncultured bacterium. RNAcentral describes it as "bacterial SSU rRNA". It matches the Rfam family "Bacterial small subunit ribosomal RNA", at positions 32 to 518 of the family's 1533-position model. The record is from RNAcentral.
AACGCUGGCGGCGUGCUUAACACAUGCAAGUCGAACGCGAAAGGGACUUCGGGUCCUGAGUAAAGUGGCGCACGGGUGAGUAACGCGUAGAUAACCUGUCUUCAUGUCUGGAAUAAUACGCCGAAAGGGGUACUAAUACCGGAUAUCUUGCUUUUCAUAAGUUAUGCAAGCAAAGGUGGCCUCUGCAUAUGCUACUGCAUGAAGAGGGGUCUGCGUACCAUUAGCUAGUAGGUGGGGUAAUGGCCUACCUAGGCGACGAUGGUUAGCGGGUCUGAGAGGAUGAUCCGCCACACUGGCACUGGAACACGGGCCAGACUCCUACGGGAGGCAGCAGUGAGGAAUAUUGCGCAAUGGGGGAAACCCUGACGCAGCGACGCCGCGUGAGUGAGGAAAAGGCCUUCGGGUCGUAAAGCUCUGUCAAGAGGAAAGAAGUGUACAAUGGCUAAUACCUGUUGCAUUUGACGGUACCUCUAAAGGAAGCACCGGCUAACUCCGUGCCAGCAGCGGC